This 108-nucleotide small nuclear RNA is filed under the name Zalophus californianus (California sea lion). The record is from RNAcentral. Lineage: Eukaryota; Metazoa; Chordata; Mammalia; Carnivora; Otariidae. RNAcentral also lists the same sequence under 1 other name.
GUGCUCGCUUCGGCAGCACAUAUACUAAAAAUUGGAAUGAUACAGAGAAGAUUAGCAUGGCCCCUGUGCAAGGAUGACACGCAAAUUCGUGAAGCAUUCCAUAUUUUU